Molecule: ribosomal RNA, 445 nt
Filed under: uncultured organism
Description: partial 16S ribosomal RNA
Rfam family: Bacterial small subunit ribosomal RNA
Source: RNAcentral
ACUCCUGCGGGAGGCAGCAGUGGGGAAUAUUGGACAAUGGGCGCAAGCCUGAUCCAGCCAUGCCGCGUGAGUGAUGAAGGCCCUAGGGUUGUAAAGCUCUUUCACCGGUGAAGAUAAUGACGGUAACCGGAGAAGAAGCCCCGGCUAACUUCGUGCCAGCAGCCGCGGUAAUACGAAGGGGGCUAGCGUUGUUCGGAUUUACUGGGCGUAAAGCGCACGUAGGCGGACUAUUAAGUCAGGGGUGAAAUCCCGGGGCUCAACCCCGGAACUGCCUUUGAUACUGGUAGUCUUGAGUUCGAGAGAGGUGAGUGGAAUUCCGAGUGUAGAGGUGAAAUUCGUAGAUAUUCGGAGGAACACCAGUGGCGAAGGCGGCUCACUGGCUCGAUACUGACGCUGAGGUGCGAAAGCGUGGGGAGCAAACAGGAUUAGAUACCCCGGUAGUCCC